This 654-nucleotide long non-coding RNA is filed under the name Mus musculus (house mouse). RNAcentral describes it as "oppositely-transcribed, rearranged locus on the Y". Lineage: Eukaryota; Metazoa; Chordata; Mammalia; Rodentia; Muridae. The record is from RNAcentral.
UUGCCUGGUCUGUAUCAAAAGACAGAAUCUUGAUGACUAAGACAUUUUCUUUGGUACUACAAGAAGAAUCCAGCUCUCUACUUCUAUCAGCUCCUGGAUGACUACAAGAAAGGGAACCUCCACAUCAUUCCAGACACUCCUCUGGCUGAGGAAAGAUCAGGAGAUGACAGUGAUGUGUUGAUAGACAGAGACAUCAUGGCCUCCAUGCAGAGGAAUGUGUGGAUGGACAUAUAUUUAAGGAAGACACUAAACCAGAAAAUACCACAUUACACCCUCUUAAAAGACUUCUAAGAUUGUUGUCAUGCCUACCACAGACAUUCAGAUGAUGUGUAUUCUUGAUUGUGAUUUCAUGUUUGGAGCUGAUGAAGGAGAAAGUACCUGGAAUGUCCUAGAAUUCUCAAGACCCAGGAGAUGAAUAUAUGCCUGAGAAGAAGAACUAGUGUGGAACUGUCAGCCAGGUUUUUGAUGAGUGCUCAGACUGCUUCCUGAUCCAGCACCACAUUUACUAUAGUGGACAGAUGCUCUAGUCUCUGAUGAGGAGUUGCUAGCUGUUAGGAAGAACCUGGAAUGGGCUCCACUGCAUGAGGUUUGAAGUCUCCAGAGCAGCAAAGAGAGUGGGGAGUAGAACUCAUCAUCUUUAGGUCACUCAGCAUC